Molecule: ribosomal RNA, 468 nt
Filed under: uncultured bacterium
Lineage: Bacteria
Description: partial 16S ribosomal RNA
Rfam family: Bacterial small subunit ribosomal RNA
Source: RNAcentral
GACGAACGCUGGCGGCGUGCUUAACACAUGCAAGUCGAACGGAAAGGCCCUGCUUUUGUGGGGUGCUCGAGUGGCGAACGGGUGAGUAACACGUGAGUAACCUGCCCUUGACUUUGGGAUAACUUCAGGAAACUGGGGCUAAUACCGGAUAGGAGCUCCUGCUGCAUGGUGGUGGUUGGAAAGUUUCGGCGGUUGGGGAUGGACUCGCGGCUUAUCAGCUUGUUGGUGGGGUAGUGGCUUACCAAGGCUUUGACGGGUAGCCGGCCUGAGAGGGUGACCGGCCACAUUGGGACUGAGAUACGGCCCAGACUCCUACGGGAGGAAGCAGUGGGGAAUAUUGCAAAAUGGGCGGAAGCCUGAUGCAGCAACGCCGCGUGCGGGAUGACGGCCUUCGGGUUGUAAACCGCUUUCGCCUGUGACGAAGCGUGAGUGACGGUAAUGGGUAAAGAAGCACCGGCUAACUACGUG